Transfer RNA from Camelus ferus (Wild Bactrian camel), 71 nucleotides. It matches the Rfam family "tRNA". Rfam says of the family: Transfer RNA (tRNA) molecules are approximately 80 nucleotides in length. Their secondary structure includes four short double-helical elements and three loops (D, anti-codon, and T loops). The record is from Rfam. Lineage: Eukaryota; Metazoa; Chordata; Mammalia; Artiodactyla; Camelidae.
AGAGUAUAGCUCAGUGGUAGAGUGCGUGCUUAGCAUGCACGAGGUCCUCGGUUCAAUCCCCAGUGCCUCUA